GUGGGGAGCAAACAGGAUUAGAUACCCUGGUAGUCCACGCCCUAAACGAUGUCAAUUAGUUGUUGGUUCUUUAUUGAAUCAGUAACGUAGCUAACGCGUGAAAUUGACCGCCUGGGGAGUACGGUCGCAAGAUUAAAACUCAAAGGAAUUGACGGGGACCCGCACAAGCGGUGGAUGAUGUGGAUUAAUUCGAUGCAACGCGAAAAACCUUACCUACCCUUGACAUGUUCGGAAUUCUGCAGAGAUGCGGAAGUGCUCGAAAGAGAACCGGAACACAGGUGCUGCAUGGCUGUCGUCAGCUCGUGUCGUGAGAUGUUGGGUUAAGUCCCGCAACGAGCGCAACCCUUAUCAUUAGUUGCUACGCAAGGGCACUCUAAUGAGACUGCCGGUGACAAACCGGAGGAAGGUGGGGAUGACGUCAAGUCCUCAUGGCCCUUAUGGGUAGGGCUUCACACGUCAUACAAUGGUCGGUACAGAGGGCUGCCAACCCGCAAGGGGGAGCCAAUCCUUUAAAACCGAUCGUAGUCCGGAUUGAGGUCUGCAACUCGACCUCAUGAAGUCGGAAUCGCUAGUAAUCGCGGAUCAGCAUGUCGCGGUGAAUACGUUCCCGAGUCUUGUACACACCGCCCGUCACACCAUGGGAGCGGGUUUUACCAGAAGUAGCUAGCCUAACCGCAAGGGGGGCGGUUACCACGGUAGGAUUCGUGACUGGGGUG
Molecule: ribosomal RNA, 716 nt
Filed under: uncultured bacterium
Lineage: Bacteria
Description: bacterial SSU rRNA
Rfam family: Bacterial small subunit ribosomal RNA
Source: RNAcentral